Molecule: ribosomal RNA, 378 nt
Filed under: uncultured bacterium
Lineage: Bacteria
Description: bacterial SSU rRNA
Rfam family: Bacterial small subunit ribosomal RNA
Source: RNAcentral
UAAUACGGAGGGUGCAAGCGUUAAUCGGAAUUACUGGGCGUAAAGCGCACGCAGGCGGUUUGUUAAGUCAGAUGUGAAAUCCCCGAGCUUAACUUGGGAACUGCAUUUGAAACUGGCAAGCUAGAGUCUUGUAGAGGGGGGUAGAAUUCCAGGUGUAGCGGUGAAAUGCGUAGAGAUCUGGAGGAAUACCGGUGGCGAAGGCGGCCCCCUGGACAAAGACUGACGCUCAGGUGCGAAAGCGUGGGGAGCAAACAGGAUUAGAUACCCUGGUAGUCAACGCUGUAAACGAUGUCGACUUGGAGGUUGUGCCCUUGAGGCGUGGCUUCCGGAGCUAACGCGUUAAGUCGACCGCCUGGGGAGUACGGCCGCAAGGUUAAA